RNAcentral lists this ribosomal RNA (452 nucleotides) under uncultured bacterium. Its description in RNAcentral is "bacterial SSU rRNA". It matches the Rfam family "Bacterial small subunit ribosomal RNA", at positions 64 to 507 of the family's 1533-position model. The record is from RNAcentral.
GAACGGUAGCACAGAGAGCUUGCUCUCGGGUGACGAGUGGCGGACGGGUGAGUAAUGUCUGGGAAACUGCCCGAUGGAGGGGGAUAACUACUGGAAACGGUAGCUAAUACCGCAUAACGUCUUCGGACCAAAGUGGGGGACCUUCGGGCCUCACACCAUCGGAUGUGCCCAGAUGGGAUUAGCUAGUAGGUGGGGUAAUGGCUCACCUAGGCGACGAUCCCUAGCUGGUCUGAGAGGAUGACCAGCCACACUGGAACUGAGACACGGUCCAGACUCCUACGGGAGGCAGCAGUGGGGAAUAUUGCACAAUGGGCGCAAGCCUGAUGCAGCCAUGCCGCGUGUGUGAAGAAGGCCUUAGGGUUGUAAAGCACUUUCAGCGAGGAGGAAGGGUAGUGUGUUAAUAGCACAUUGCAUUGACGUUACUCGCAGAAGAAGCACCGGCUAACUCUGUG